GUGAGGAAUAUUGGUCAAUGGGCGAAAGCCUGAACCAGCCAUGUCGCGUGAAGGAUGAAGGUCCUAUGGAUUGUAAACUUCUUUUGCAGGAGGGUAAAGUGAGCUACGUGUAGUUCAUUGCAAGUACCCUGCGAAUAAGCAUCGGCUAACUCCGUGCCAGCAGCCGCGGUAAUACGGAGGAUGCGAGCGUUAUCCGGAUUUAUUGGGUUUAAAGGGUGCGUAGGCGGACUAAUUAGUCAGCGGUGAAAUUUUGCGGCUCAACCGUAAAACUGCCGUUGAAACUGUUAGUCUUGAGUGCGGUAGAGGUAGGCGGAAUGUGUGGUGUAGCGGUGAAAUGCUUAGAUAUCACACAGAACACCGAUUGCGUAGGCAGCUUACUGGAGCGCAACUGACGCUGAGGCACGAAAGCGUGGGGAUCGAACAGGAUUAGAAACCCGAGUAGUCC
Molecule: ribosomal RNA, 445 nt
Filed under: uncultured bacterium
Lineage: Bacteria
Description: partial 16S ribosomal RNA
Rfam family: Bacterial small subunit ribosomal RNA
Source: RNAcentral